This 479-nucleotide long non-coding RNA is filed under the name Lathyrus oleraceus (garden pea). Its description in RNAcentral is "Pisum sativum (pea) long non-coding RNA (PSAT_LNC022418)". The record is from RNAcentral. Lineage: Eukaryota; Viridiplantae; Streptophyta; Magnoliopsida; Fabales; Fabaceae.
UCAUUGAUUAUUUCAUAGAGCAUUUUGAAUCUCCUCCCUCCUUCUUAAAAUAAAUGCCGUUUUAGUAAAUACAAUUUGUUUUAAAAUGAAUAUCAUUCUCAUUUUUAAAAUAUAAAAAUCAUUGUUAUUUUUCUACUUAUGUCAUUUAAUUAUUAGUGUGUACACAAUUAUUAGUGUGUACACAUCUUCAACAGUAAUAAGCUUAACUAAUAAUAUGGUAGGUUCUUUUGACAACUUAUUACAUUCCUCCGAACAAAAACUUUAACAGACAUUAAUUUUAAAAUGGAGGAGUAUAUUUUAAGUUGCUUUGUUCCUAAGGAUACACCAAUGUUUUAAAAUGAAUAUCAUUCUCAUUUUUAAAUAUAAAAAUCAUUGUUAUUUUCUACUUAUGCAUUUUAAUUAUAGUGUGUACACAAUUAUUAGUGUGUACACAUCUUCAACAUGUUAAUAAGCUUAACUAAUAAUAGUGUAGGUUCUUU